UACAGAGGUCUCAAGCGUUGUUCGGAUUCAUUGGGCGUAACGGGUGCGUAGGCGGCGCGGUAAGUCGGGUGUGAAAUCUUGGAGCUUAACUCCGAAACUGCAUUCGAUACUGCCGUGCUUGAGGACUGGAGAGGAGACUGGAAUUUACGGUGUAGCGGUGAAAUGCGUAGAUAUCGUAAGGAAGACCAGUGGCGAAGGCGGGUCUCUGGACAGUUCCUGACGCUGAGGCACGAAGGCCAGGGGAGCAAACGGG
RNAcentral lists this ribosomal RNA (253 nucleotides) under uncultured bacterium. Its description in RNAcentral is "partial 16S ribosomal RNA". It matches the Rfam family "Bacterial small subunit ribosomal RNA", at positions 524 to 776 of the family's 1533-position model. The record is from RNAcentral.